RNAcentral lists this ribosomal RNA (1364 nucleotides) under uncultured bacterium. RNAcentral's name for it is "bacterial SSU rRNA". It matches the Rfam family "Bacterial small subunit ribosomal RNA". The record is from RNAcentral.
GAGUUUGAUCCUGGCUCAACACGCUGGCGGUGCCUAAUAAUGCAUAACGCGAAGUGGAGCUCCAUGAGUAGAGGCAAACGGGUGAGUAACGCGUGGGUGACCUGCUUCGACGGGGAUAACGCCGAAAGGGACGCUAAUACCGAUAACAUGCCGCUUUAACAGGUGGACAUCAAAGCUGGGGAUCGCAAGACCUAGCACUUGAAGAGGGGCCCGCGUCUGAUUAGCUAGUUGGUGGGGUAAUGGCUCACCAAGGCAACGAUCAGUAUCCGGCCUGAGAGGGCGGACGGACACACUGGGACUGAGACACGGCCCAGACUCCUACGGGAGGCAGCAGUGGGGAAUUGUUCGCAAUGGGCGCAAGCCUGACGACGCAACGCCGCGUGGAGGAUGAAGACCUUCGGGUCGUAAACUCCUUUCGAUCGAGACGAAUGGCCUCCGGGUGAACAAUCCGGAGGAGUGACGGUACCGAGAGAAGAAGCCCCGGCUAACUCCGUGCCAGCAGCCGCGGUAAUACGGGGGGGGCAAGCGUUGUUCGGAAUUACUGGGCGUAAAGAGUUGCGUAGGUGGCAGAGUAAGCGGACAGUGAAAGCGUGUGGCUCAACUAUACAUACAUUGUCUGAACUGCUCAGCUAGAGAGUGAGAGAGGUAGUUGGAAUUCCCAGUGUAGGAGUGAAAUCCGUAGAUAUUGGGAGGAACACCGAUGGCGUAGGCAGACUACUGGCUCAUUUCUGACACUAAGGCACGAAAGCGUGGGGAGCGAACGGGAUUAGAUACCCCGGUAGUCCACGCCGUAAACUAUGGAUGCUAGCUGUUAUUCGUAUCGACCCGAGUAGUAGCGAAGCUAACGCGUUAAGCAUCCCGCCUGUGGAGUACGGUCGCAAGACUAAAACAUAAAGGAAUUGACGGGGACCCGCACAAGCGGUGGAGCGUGUUGUUUAAUUCGAUGGUAAGCGAAGAACCUUACCAGGGCUUGACAUCCUGCUAAUUUCUCCGAAAGGAGAGAGUGCCUUCGGGCCGCAGUGACAGGUGUUGCAUGGCCGUCGUCAGCUCGUGUCGUGAGAUGUUUGGUUAAGUCCAUCAACGAGCGCAACCCUUGUGAUUAGUUGAAUUUUUCUAAUCAGACUGCCCCGGCAACGGGGAGGAAGGAGGGGAUGAUGUCAGGUCAGUAUUACCCUUACGCCCUGGGCUACAAACACGCUACAAUGGCCGGUACAAAGGGCAGCCAAGUCGCAAGACGGAGCAAAUCCCAUCAAAGCCGGUCUCAGUUCGGAUUGCAGGCUGAAACCCGCCUGCAUGAAGCUGGAAUCGCUAGUAACGGUAGGUCAGCACACUACCGUGAAUACGUUCCCGGGUCUUGUACACAC